AAGUGUGAAGCAAAUCUGCAAUCAGUUUCGACCUGAUCCUAGAUAGUAAAAUCUAUCCUCACUAU
This 65-nucleotide transfer RNA is filed under the name Heterotermes tenuior. RNAcentral describes it as "tRNA-Arg". The record is from RNAcentral. Lineage: Eukaryota; Metazoa; Arthropoda; Insecta; Blattodea; Rhinotermitidae.